AGUGAGAGCUGGACCAUAAAGAAGGCUGAUCGCCGAAGAAUUGAUGCUUUUGAAUUAUGGUGCUGGAGGAGACUCUUGAGAGUCUCAUGGACUGCAAGAAGAUCAAACCUAUCCAUUCUUAAGGAAAUCAGCCCUGAGUGCUCAUUGGAAGGACAGAUCGUGAAGCUGAGGCUCCAAUACUUUGGCCACCUCAUGAGAAGAGAAGACUCCCUUGAAAAGACCCUGAUGUUGGGAAAGAUGGAGGGCACAAGGAGAAGGGGACGACAGAGGACAAGAUGGUUGGACAGUGUUCUCGAAGCUACCAGCAUGAGUUUGACCAAACUGUGGGAGGCAGUGGAAGACAGGAGUACCUGGCGUGCUCUGGUCCAUGGGGUCACGAAAAGUCGGACACGACUAAACGACUAAACAACAACAACAA
This 418-nucleotide long non-coding RNA is filed under the name Podarcis lilfordi (Lilford's wall lizard). The record is from RNAcentral. Lineage: Eukaryota; Metazoa; Chordata; Lepidosauria; Squamata; Lacertidae.